Molecule: ribosomal RNA, 253 nt
Filed under: uncultured bacterium
Lineage: Bacteria
Description: partial 16S ribosomal RNA
Rfam family: Bacterial small subunit ribosomal RNA
Source: RNAcentral
UACAGAGGGUGCGAGCGUUAAUCGGAAUUACUGGGCGUAAAGCGCACGUAGGUGGCGACGUAAGUCGGGUGUGAAAGCCCCGGGCUCAACCUGGGAAUUGCAUUCGAGACUGCAUUGCUGGAGUACGGUAGAGGAAGGCGGAAUUCCCGGUGUAGCGGUGAAAUGCGUAGAUAUCGGGAGGAACAUCAGUGGCGAAGGCGGCCUUCUGGUCCAGUACUGACACUCAAGUGCGAAAGCGUGGGGAGCAAACAGG